This 534-nucleotide ribosomal RNA is filed under the name uncultured Pseudoalteromonas sp. RNAcentral describes it as "bacterial SSU rRNA". It matches the Rfam family "Bacterial small subunit ribosomal RNA", at positions 73 to 610 of the family's 1533-position model. The record is from RNAcentral. Lineage: Bacteria; Pseudomonadati; Pseudomonadota; Gammaproteobacteria; Alteromonadales; Pseudoalteromonadaceae.
AGCUUGCUACUUUGCUGACGAGCGGCGGACGGGUGAGUAAUGCUUGGGAACAUGCCUUGAGGUGGGGGACAACAGUUGGAAACGACUGCUAAUACCGCAUAAUGUCUACGGACCAAAGGGGGCUUCGGCUCUCGCCUUUAGAUUGGCCCAAGUGGGAUUAGCUAGUUGGUGAGGUAAUGGCUCACCAAGGCGACGAUCCCUAGCUGGUUUGAGAGGAUGAUCAGCCACACUGGGACUGAGACACGGCCCAGACUCCUACGGGAGGCAGCAGUGGGGAAUAUUGCACAAUGGGCGCAAGCCUGAUGCAGCCAUGCCGCGUGUGUGAAGAAGGCCUUCGGGUUGUAAAGCACUUUCAGUCAGGAGGAAAGGUUAGUAGUUAAUACCUGCUAGCUGUGACGUUACUGACAGAAGAAGCACCGGCUAACUCCGUGCCAGCAGCCGCGGUAAUACGGAGGGUGCGAGCGUUAAUCGGAAUUACUGGGCGUAAAGCGUACGCAGGCGGUUUGUUAAGCGAGAUGUGAAAGCCCCGGGCUC